GCAAGGAGGUGCUAAAAACCUCGGGGUGGGGCGAUGGGAGGGCCCGGGUGCAUUGCAUUGCAUUGCAUGUGGCUUUUUAAAUUUUAUUUAACCCUGCCUUAUUUGCGGACACCAGGUUUUGCUAAAGGCGGAUGGACACCCCGCCCCCCCCCCACCAUCGUGGGGAUUGUUGCAGAAUCCAGGACGGUGUCCGGCCUGACAGGUGGAAAAAUAAUUGCUGAGCCAGAGCUUUCAUCAAAGGGGGGGGGUCAUGGCAUGGAGACUUCAUUCCUUCUUGGGGGUCGCAGAAAAAACGAAGAAUGGACCCAUAUACUGGUGGCAUUGCGGGAGGAAGUGAAGGAUGCGGAAGCGUUUGGGCUGAUUUGUGAGCAUGUGGGGGAUUUCUUGAUCCGGAGGAGAAAAUUCUACCAGAACAUGCAGAGAGAUGAAGAUGGAGCAACAAGAGACAAGAAGGAACCCGAGAUUGCUUGGGAAGGACCUGGGAAAGGAGACUUGGGGAGGUGGGACCUCACACCUGACUCAUCGGGGCAAGAUCUACUGGGAAGAGUUGCUGUGCUCGCUAGGCCUGCUCUCUGAGCUUGUUUUUCCCCCUUUGAAUAAAGAGUUAACUUCAUUGA
This is a non-coding RNA of Podarcis muralis (Common wall lizard), 617 nucleotides long. NCBI's taxonomy places the organism in Eukaryota, Metazoa, Chordata, Lepidosauria, Squamata, Lacertidae. The record is from RefSeq and is a predicted model, not a curated record.